CAGUAGCCGCGGUAAUACGAAGGGGGCUAGCGUUGCUCGGAAUUACUGGGCGUAAAGGGCGCGUAGGCGGGACAUCAAGUUGGGGUGAAAGCCCGGGGCUCAACCUCGGAAUUGCCCUCAAAACUGAUGACCUAGAGUACGGGAGAGGUGUGUGGAACUCCGAGUGUAGAGGUGAAAUUCGUAGAUAUUCGGAAGAACACCAGUGGCGAAGGCGACACACUGGCCAAUACUGACGCUCAUGCACGAAAGCGUGGGGAGCAAACAGGAUUAGAUACCCCGGUAGUCCCUGUCUCUUAUACCC
RNAcentral lists this ribosomal RNA (301 nucleotides) under uncultured bacterium. Its description in RNAcentral is "partial 16S ribosomal RNA". It matches the Rfam family "Bacterial small subunit ribosomal RNA", at positions 509 to 809 of the family's 1533-position model. The record is from RNAcentral.